RNAcentral lists this ribosomal RNA (433 nucleotides) under uncultured bacterium. RNAcentral describes it as "partial 16S ribosomal RNA". It matches the Rfam family "Bacterial small subunit ribosomal RNA", at positions 29 to 507 of the family's 1533-position model. The record is from RNAcentral.
AACGAACGCUGGCGGCAGGCCUAACACAUGCAAGUCGAGCGAGGACUUCGGUCCUAGCGGCGGACGGGUGAGUAACGCGUGGGAACGUGCCCUUUGCUUCGGAAUAGCCCUGGGAAACUGGGAGUAAUACCGGAUGAGCCCUUUGGGGGAAAGAUUUAUCGGCGAAGGAUCGGCCCGCGUUGGAUUAGGUAGUUGGUGGGGUCAUGGCCUACCAAGCCGACGAUCCAUAGCUGGUUUGAGAGGAUGAUCAGCCACACUGGGACUGAGACACGGCCCAGACUCCUACGGGAGGCAGCAGUGGGGAAUCUUAGACAAUGGGGGAAACCCUGAUCUAGCCAUGCCGCGUGAGCGAUGAAGGCCUUAGGGUUGUAAAGCUCUUUCAGCUGGGAAGAUAAUGACGGUACCAGCAGAAGAAGCCCCGGCUAACUCCGUG